This 440-nucleotide ribosomal RNA is filed under the name uncultured bacterium. RNAcentral describes it as "bacterial SSU rRNA". It matches the Rfam family "Bacterial small subunit ribosomal RNA", at positions 338 to 795 of the family's 1533-position model. The record is from RNAcentral.
CCUACGGGUGGCAGCAGUGGGGAAUAUUGCACAAUGGGGGAAACCCUGAUGCAGCAACGCCGCGUGAGCGAUGAAGGCCUUCGGGUCGUAAAGCUCUGUCCUAAGGGAAGAAUACUGACGGUACCUUAGGAGGAAGCCCCGGCUAACUACGUGCCAGCAGCCGCGGUAAUACGUAGGGGGCUAGCGUUAUCCGGAAUUACUGGGCGUAAAGGGUGCGUAGGCGGCCCUUCAAGUCAGAGGUGAAAGGCUACGGCUCAACCGUAGUAAGCCUUUGAAACUGUAGGGCCUGAGUGCAGGAGAGGGGAGGGAAAUUCCCGGUGGAGGGGGGAAUGGGGUAGAUAUUGGGGGGAACACAGGUGGCGAGGGGGGCUCUGUGGACUGUAACGGACGCUGGGGCACGAAAGCGUGGGGAGCGAACAGGAUUAGAUACCCGAGUAGUC